Molecule: ribosomal RNA, 495 nt
Filed under: Vibrio sp.
Lineage: Bacteria; Pseudomonadati; Pseudomonadota; Gammaproteobacteria; Vibrionales; Vibrionaceae
Description: bacterial SSU rRNA
Rfam family: Bacterial small subunit ribosomal RNA
Source: RNAcentral
CAGCCAUGCCGCGUGUGUGAAGAAGGCCUUCGGGUUGUAAAGCACUUUCAGUCGUGAGGAAGGUAGUGUAGUUAAUAGCUGCAUUAUUUGACGUUAGCGACAGAAGAAGCACCGGCUAACUCCGUGCCAGCAGCCGCGGUAAUACGGAGGGUGCGAGCGUUAAUCGGAAUUACUGGGCGUAAAGCGCAUGCAGGUGGUUUGUUAAGUCAGAUGUGAAAGCCCGGGGCUCAACCUCGGAAUAGCAUUUGAAACUGGCAGACUAGAGUACUGUAGAGGGGGGUAGAAUUUCAGGUGUAGCGGUGAAAUGCGUAGAGAUCUGAAGGAAUACCGGUGGCGAAGGCGGCCCCCUGGACAGAUACUGACACUCAGAUGCGAAAGCGUGGGGAGCAAACAGGAUUAGAUACCCUGGUAGUCCACGCCGUAAACGAUGUCUACUUGGAGGUUGUGGCCUUGAGCCGUGGCUUUCGGAGCUAACGCGUUAAGUAGACCGCCUGG